GACGAACGCUGGCGGCGUGCUUAACACAUGCAAGUCGAACGGAAAGGCCCUGCUUGCAGGGUACUCGAGUGGCGAACGGGUGAGUAACACGUGGGUGAUCUGCCCUGCACUUCGGGAUAAGCUUGGGAAACUGGGUCUAAUACCGGAUAGGAGCCAUCUUUAGUGUGGUGGUUGGAAAGUUUUUUCGGUGUAGGAUGAGCUCGCGGCCUAUCAGCUUGUUGGUGGGGUAAUGGCCUACCAAGGCGGCGACGGGUAGCCGGCCUGAGAGGGUGUACGGCCACAUUGGGACUGGGAUACGGCCCAGAGUCCUACGGGAGGCAGCAGUGGGGAAUAUUGCACAAUGGGCGCAAGCCUGAUGCAGCGACGCCGCGUGGGGGAUGAAGGCCUUCGGGUUGUAAACUCCUUUCGCUAGGGACGAAGCUUGUUUGUGACGGUACCUAGAUAAGAAGCACCGGCUAACUACGUG
RNAcentral lists this ribosomal RNA (466 nucleotides) under uncultured bacterium. RNAcentral's name for it is "partial 16S ribosomal RNA". It matches the Rfam family "Bacterial small subunit ribosomal RNA", at positions 28 to 507 of the family's 1533-position model. The record is from RNAcentral.